Non-coding RNA from Anas platyrhynchos (mallard), 1166 nucleotides. Lineage: Eukaryota; Metazoa; Chordata; Aves; Anseriformes; Anatidae. The record is from RefSeq and is a predicted model, not a curated record.
GAAAAGAAAAGAAAAGAAAAGAAAAGAAAAGAAAAGAAAAGAAAAGAAAAGAAAAGAAAAGAAAAGAAAAAAAUCUACCCUCAUGCUUAAUACUUUAAAAGCAAACUGCCCCUGGAAAAAUUUGCUUUCAGAUCUCUUCCUUUAUUAGGUUCAGAUCCUCUUAAUUGCAUAUGGCUGGUAGCUCCCAAACUUUGGCUUCUAUUUCUUCAUUCUGAGUCCUUGACCUUGCAAGAAUCAGAUGAAUCUAAUAGGGUCAUACAUUUAUAAUAAACCCAAGGCCUACUUGGGUAGGAACACUUCUACUUUAAGUGGGGAGAAACAUCCAUGUACCAAGUAUAUUAAUUGUAAAUAGAAUUGAAUGAAGGUAUCCAAGCAUAUUUUUAUUUCAUUAAGCUGCAUUUAGAGCUAUCCUAAUUAUUAUUUUUUCCCUGUGUUAAGAUUUUUUGCGAGUUUUACUCAGUCUGUUACUCAGAUAUAUAGGGUGUGUUUUGAAGUACAGGAUGCGGUUUGACUUGAAGAAAGGAAAGGUUCUCUCACCAGCAGUUCAUAAGGUUUCUGGACAAUAUCUGAGGAACUAGAGAUUCAUGUCAUUAGCAAUAAUGUUUUGCAUUUUUCAUCCACAGAUCACAAAAUGAUUUGCAAAUUUUAAGUACUUCUGUUUCACAAAAAACCUUCUGUCUUUGUGACAUGUAUCUGAGUGACUUGGAGGAUGAAACAUGGAGAAGUGUUGUGAUGGGCUAGAAGGACCACGUUGAAUGGUCUGCUCCAUUAGACCUUCAUCCUGCUGAAGCCAACAGCAAUUUAAGAUCUCACUCAACCAUGAGCUGUAGACGUACUGCAGGCAUCUGAAUUUUAACUGCAUUAAACCAGUCUGGACCAGCUGCAUGAUGAAGGAGAGUUUUGCUUGGAACCAGAGCUGAUGAUGCUGUUAUCCACCCGUCACAGCUUACCAGGACUUCUGGACAGUGAGAGUGUUGUCUUCCUAGUGCCUGCCCAUCCACAGCAGAAGUCAAUGCCAACCACCCAUAGGAAAAUGUUAAGCACUGACAGGAUAUGAAUGCACAAACAAACAAACAGACAGACAAACAAAAAACUUAUUAGGAAGCAAGCACUGAUAGACAUCUUAUUGUAAUUAGGAAUAAAUAAUAAAUCCUUUCUCAAUGAUU